This 253-nucleotide ribosomal RNA is filed under the name uncultured bacterium. RNAcentral's name for it is "partial 16S ribosomal RNA". It matches the Rfam family "Bacterial small subunit ribosomal RNA", at positions 524 to 776 of the family's 1533-position model. The record is from RNAcentral.
UACAGAGGUCUCAAGCGUUGUUCGGAUUCAUUGGGCGUAAAGGGUGCGUAGGCGGCUUGUUGCGUCGGCUGUGAAAACCCGCGGCUUAACCGUGGGCUUGCAGCCGAUACGGGCGGGCUGGAGUUCGGUAGGGGAGACUGGAAUUCCUGGUGUAGCGGUGAAAUGCGCAGAUAUCAGGAGGAACACCGGUGGCGAAGGCGGGUCUCUGGGCCGAUACUGACGCUGAGGAGCGAAAGCGUGGGGAGCGAACAGG